GACGAACGCUGGCGGCGUGCUCAACAUAUGCAAGUCGAACGGUGAAGCGCCUUCCUUUUUGGUGGGUGUGGCUGCGUGGCUAACGGGUGAGUAACACGUGAGUAAACUGCCCCCUUCUUCUGGAUAACCGCAUGAAAGUGUGGCUAAUAAGGGAUAUUCUGGGUCUGUCGCAUGAUGGGUUUGGGGAAGAUAUUGUUUCGGUGGGGGUUGGGCUCGCGGCCUGGCAGCUUGUUGGUGGGGUGCUGGUCUUGCAAGGCGGUGACGCGUAGCCGGCCUGAGAGGGUGGACGGUCACACUGGGACUGGGACACGGCCCAGACUCCUACGGGAGGCAGCAGUGGGGAAUAUUGCACAAUGGGCGCAAGCCUGAUGCAGCGACGCCGCGUGAGGGAUGGAGGCCUUCGGGUUGUGAACCUCUUUCGCCAGUGAAGCAGGCCUGCCUCGUUUGUGGGUGGGUUGACGGUAGCUGGAUAAGAAGCGCCGGCUAACUACGUG
RNAcentral lists this ribosomal RNA (494 nucleotides) under uncultured bacterium. Its description in RNAcentral is "partial 16S ribosomal RNA". It matches the Rfam family "Bacterial small subunit ribosomal RNA", at positions 28 to 507 of the family's 1533-position model. The record is from RNAcentral.